This 497-nucleotide ribosomal RNA is filed under the name uncultured bacterium. Its description in RNAcentral is "partial 16S ribosomal RNA". It matches the Rfam family "Bacterial small subunit ribosomal RNA", at positions 28 to 507 of the family's 1533-position model. The record is from RNAcentral.
GAUGAACGCUGGCGGCGUGCCUAAUACAUGCAAGUCGAGCGAACGGACGAGAAGCUUGCUUCUCUGAUGUUAGCGGCGGACGGGUGAGUAACACGUGGAUAACCUACCUAUAAGACUGGGAUAACUUCGGGAAACCGGAGCUAAUACCGGAUGAUAUUUUGAACCGCAUGGUUCAAAAGUGAAAGACGGUCUUGCUGUCACUUAUAGAUGGAUCCGCGCUGCAUUAGCUAGUUGGUAAGGUAACGGCUUACCAAGGCAACGAUGCAUAGCCGACCUGAGAGGGUGAUCGGCCACACUGGAACUGAGACACGGUCCAGACUCCUACGGGAGUCAGCAGUAGGGAAUCUUCCGCAAUGGGCGAAAGCCUGACGGAGCAACGCCGCGUGAGUGAUGAAGGUCUUCGGAUCGUAAAACUCUGUUAUUAGGGAAGAGCAUAUGUGUAAGUAACUGUGCACAUCUUGACGGUACCUAAUCAGAAAGCCACGGCUAACUACGUG